AGACAACGCUACUUUAGUGACCGAAGCACUUUUCCUUUCCCUUUCAUGCGAGUUUUUUGCAACCAUGGGUGGCUAGUAUCAAUGCCUCCACUUUCAAGGUGAGGAGAGGAACUGGGGAGGUUGAGCAUUUGCUGCAAUAUCACCGUGGCCAGCAGCGCAAGAGAGCCAGGGUCCCCAUUUGCCACCCAUGAACCAGUCGGCCUUCCUCGCCCCACGCUGGAGAUAGAGGAGGGAAGAAAGAACUAGCCGAGCAAAACCCCAAAAAAGGAAUCCUUUCUCCCCAGAGAUUAUGAAAUCAAAGAACAUUUUGUUGCUUCUUGGAAAUUCUUCCCCUUACGGAGGCUACACAAUUGAACAGGGUUUUCAUUAUUAUGACUAUGAUUAUUAAAGUUGUUGGUCUAGUUCCCGCCUCCUUCUUUGCAAACUUUCGCACGGACUGAGAAACACAAGCGUUUACCUGGGUGCAUGCUGGGACGGGGCGAGCAGGUAGUGCAGGCUUCCAGGCCUCUCCUGCCCCGGAGCUUGGCUGCAGGACUCCCGCAAAAUCUCCAAAUGCCCCCGAUCUGCGUGGUCACCGAGAAGCAGCCCGGCUCGGAACAAGCCCAGGCAAGCCCAGGCAGAGCCCGCCGCCGGGUCCUCCUUCCUGCUCGUGCCACCAGGCCCCGGGGCCGCGACGCGUCUCUCCAGCCCGGGAUCCGGGGAGCUGGGCUGUCCCCAGACCGACGGGACAGCGGCAUCUCCUCCACCUGAAAAGGAAAGAGGACCAGUUUGCAGGACUCCGAACUGGGCCCGCGAGAUCUCCACCUGCGCAAAACGAAAGGGCGGAUUCUCCUUGGACUCACGAGGCAACCGCUCCCCGGGGUGAGAACGGGGGACUCAUUCCUCCGGCACUGGGAGAAGACGAUUCUUUAGGAGGAGGACAGGGAAGCGAAUGCUACCCAGAUGUCUCAGUAUACUGGCUCGCGGCACAUCGGGCAAAUGAACCUAUCAGAUAACAACGGCAGAUCAGAUGCCUGAGCAUUCAGAAGCAACAGCUGUGGAGCCCCCGUGGGUUCAGAAGGCCUGGUUCCCGUCUCCAGAAGCCUGGCUCUCCUCCCUCCUGGGCCCACUACUUUGGCUUCUUGUUCCUACGUACAAGGAGUUGCGAAGAAGGCAACUCUUCCCCUCCCUGAAGCCAAAGGAAUGAAACAGACUAGGGCGGGAGAGGUGGCCAUCCGUCAUUAGUUGCGGCCAUCAGUAACAGCAACAGGACACGGAACCUAAGGCUGUAUCCAUCCUGGGCCCCCAGGGAAACAUCAGCGGGAGCGGUACUAAGGAAGUGCUCAUCUCUUAGAGACAAAGGCCCAUGGAGGGGAACAGUAACCAUCCCCUCCCAAUUCAGAAAAUGUUAACAUAAGCACUUCAUUUCUCAUGCAGAUAACCACAUAAGUCUAUUAAUAAGAAAGAAAGAGAAAGAAAAAAAAGAAAAAGGAAUCCAUGCCAGCAGGGUAUAGGAAUUGGUCUAUAGGAGAAAGGGUCACCCACUGAAAGGUGGGCUGAAUAGAAUUCCUUGCCUGGGCUUUGAGGUCCUGGCAUGGAGAAGGCUGUAGAAAUGCUGGCAUCAGUGGAACCCUCAAUAAACAGAAUUCUUGUUAAAGAAUCACAGUCAUUGGUGGAAUGGACUGCCCAUCUAAGGUCAAUCUACACUAAAGGAUGGCAGAGAUCAAGAGAAAGAGAAAGAAAAAGCACCCAUGGCCGGGCAUGCGUGGUGGCUCACACCUGUAAUCCCAGCACUUAGGGAGGCCGAGGCAGGCGCAUCACUUGAGGUCAGGAGUUUGACACCAGCCUGGCCAACAUGGUCAAACCCCAUCUCUACUAAAAAUACAAAAAUUAGCCAGGCGUGGUGGCAGGCACCUGUAAUCCCAGCUACUCGGGAGGCUGAGGUGAGAGAAUUGCUUGAACUGGGAGGCAGAGGUUGCAAUGAGCAGAGAUUGCACCACUGCACUCCAGCCUGGGCACUAGAGUGAAACUCCAUCUCAAAAAAAAAAAAAGAAAAGGAAAAAGAAAAAAGAAAAGCACCCAGAUCCUAGGACAUAUAAAUACUUCCAACAUGAGGACCGCGGGGUAGCGCCCAUGGGAGGUGCAGGUCACUGUCCUUAGCGGAACCCCUUCUCUACCUUGCCACACCGGCACUAAGCCCUCGAUCCUUCUGACAGACAUGGCCACAUUUUUGUACAUGUUUGCAGCCAUCACUCCUUUCACUGUAGUAAGCUGUGCACUCAGCAUCACCCAUGUCUUUCUAUAAAUAGGAAGAAAGCUCAGAACAGCCCUCAGAAAACUGCAUGUUGACAGCACCCAGAGUCCUGGCUGGAAGAGGGAAGGGCACUCACAGAGCUGCUUCCCUGGAGCUGUGUCUCUCCCAACUGCCUUGAAGGAAUCUCUUGGGAAGGCAGCGACUUCUGGCCUCUGGGGACCUAAAGAAGCCAAGUGGCAAAGCGGUAUGAAAACUAAACCAGUUCUAGGUCCAGGUGCACAUCAAGGCAGUUUGUGGGGCACGUGGCAGGUCUGCUGAAACACAGUGCCUGCCCCUCGCCAACCUUCUCUCUCUGGCAGGAACCCCCUCCUUUGAGUUAAAAGUGUUGCAGACCCCAGGAAAUGCCUGAGAGACCUUGUGCCUUAACAGAGAGAGAUGUUAUGUGCACCGGAUCCCCAACAUGCUUUGCAAAUGUUGAAGGGAGAAGACAGACGUGGGCCAGAUACAACACAAACAAGGCUCUCAGGCCACCAGGCUGAGUGAAGGUGCUAUACAGAGGCUUCUUGGCCACCUGGGGCCCCUUUGAGCCUAUGAGGGAUCCUGGGAGGGUAGUGGAGUGAGGACAGCAGAGGAGCACCAAAGACAAACUCAGCCCAUUUCACAAUUUUAUCGUGAGCCAGCCCUAUCUUAGCCCUCUCGUUUUGAAGAAAAGCCAAAUUUGUAUUUAAAAAAAUACUUAUGCCUGAUGCAUUCCCUAUUGUGAAAUAAGCACAUUUAUUACACAGAAGGAAACCUGAUGUCUCUCAGACCUUGAGCAGACUAUUUACAACAUUUGGGCUACAAGGCAAGGUGACCUUCAGACCACGAAGUGGCGAUGGCUUGCAUAGGGCAAGGCAGGGUCUCUGAGAGAACGUGAGACACACAGGCCACCACCAUGUUUUAGGGGACCUGGGAUUUUGCAACAGGAAGAAAUAACAGGUUAGAAAAAUGCAUGCUUUAAAACAUUUAAAAUUUAAAAAUAGAAUGCUUUCACACACACACACUGCAACACAAUAUAAUUGUGCCAUUUACUAGUAAUGAUAUAAACAUAUCUGAAUGCCCCUUUGAACACAAAGCACAGCUAAAUGCCCCACCUCCAGCAGACAGACCCUGAAGCAACACACCCCCAAGAAAACAAGUGACAGAUAUAUAUGAUAGAUAGAUAGAUAGAUAGAUAGAUAGAUAGAUAGAUAGAUAGAUAUUAUUUUUUUUGAGACAGAGUCUGGUUCUGUCUCAGAAGGGUCAGGUUGCCCAGGCUGGAAUGCAGUGGCAUGAUCUCGGCUCUCUGCAACCUCCACCUCCCUGGCUCAAGCUAGCCUCCUACCUCAGCCUCCCAAGUAGCUGGGACGACAGGUGCAUGUCAGCAUACCCAGCUAAUUUUGGUAGAAAUGGAGUCUCACUAUGUGGCUCAGGCUGCUCACUACGAGCUCAGAAGAGCUCAAGCAAUCCACCCACCUCGGCCUCCCAAAGUAUUGGGAUUACAGACAUGAGUCACCAUGCCCGGCUGUAAGUGACAGAUAUUGACAUAAGCCCUGCAAUAGGAAUCUGAGACCCAGGAUUGGACAGGUCAACUAGCAAUGCUUCUAAAUACAAGUGAUCUGGCAAGCUGGCAAAAUGUCUGAGUUUCAUUCUUUACCUUAGGUCAAAGUUUCAUUCUUGAUUUGGAUCAAAGGGGAAGGAGAAAAAGGCACAAACUGAACCAUCAACUCUGUCACCGAAAAGUGGUCCCCUGGAUCUUAGUGCUUUGCCACCUUCUUGCCACCCCUAUAGUAAAAUGCUUUUUUAUUCUUUCUUUAAAAAUUUCUGUUAUUAUUAUUUUAUUUAAAUGGGGUCUUGCUAUGUUGUCCAGGCUGGUCUCCAACUUCUGGCCUCAAGCAAUCUUCCCACUCCAGCCUCCCAAAGUGCUGGGAUUACAGACGUAAGCCACCAUGUCCAGCCAUGAUUUUUAAAGGCAGGCAUACUUUAUACUUUUUGUACACACUUACAGCUCUGAUUCUUUUUUUAAACAUAUUUAUUUAUUUUUGUUGAGAUGAGGUCUCGCUAUGUUGCCCAGGCUGGUCUUGAACUCCUGGGCCCAAGUGAUCCUCCUGCUUCGGCCUCC
This 4373-nucleotide long non-coding RNA is filed under the name Homo sapiens (human). RNAcentral describes it as "non-protein coding LINC01759:17". The record is from RNAcentral. Lineage: Eukaryota; Metazoa; Chordata; Mammalia; Primates; Hominidae.